This 100-nucleotide non-coding RNA is filed under the name Paenibacillus sp. RNAcentral describes it as "Guanine sequence". It matches the Rfam family "Purine riboswitch aptamer". Rfam says of the family: Riboswitches are metabolite binding domains within certain messenger RNAs that serve as precision sensors for their corresponding targets. RNAcentral also lists the same sequence under 1 other name. Lineage: Bacteria; Bacillati; Bacillota; Bacilli; Caryophanales; Paenibacillaceae. The record is from RNAcentral.
CGUUCAUUAUAGUGUUGGUCUCGUAUAAUCUCGGGGAUUGGCCCGAAAGUUUCUACCCGAAAACCACAAUUUUCGGACUACGAGCAAGCUUGAAGCUGGU